Molecule: ribosomal RNA, 940 nt
Filed under: uncultured bacterium
Lineage: Bacteria
Description: bacterial SSU rRNA
Rfam family: Bacterial small subunit ribosomal RNA
Source: RNAcentral
AANGGGCGAANCCCUGAUGCAGCAACGCCGCGNUGAAGGGAUGACGGCCUUCGGGUUGUAAACCUCUUUCAGUAGGGAAGAAGCGAAAGUGACGGUACCUACAGAAGAAGCACCGGCUAACUACGUGCCAGCAGCCGCGGUAAUACGUAGGGUGCGAGCGUUGUCCGGAUUUAUUGGGCGUAAAGAGCUUGUAGGCGGUUUGUCGCGUCUGCUGUGAAAAUCCGAGGCUCAACCUCGGACCUGCAGUGGGUACGGGCAGACUAGAGUGUGGUAGGGGAGACUGGAAUUCCUGGUGUAGCGGUGAAAUGCGCAGAUAUCAGGAGGAACACCGAUGGCGAAGGCAGGUCUCUGGGCCACAACUGACGCUGAGAAGCGAAAGCGUGGGGAGCGAACAGGAUUAGAUACCCUGGUAGUCCACGCCGUAAACGUUGGGCGCUAGGUGUGGGACUCAUUCCACGAGUUCCGUGCCGCAGCUAACGCAUUAAGCGCCCCGCCUGGGGAGUACGGCCGCAAGGCUAAAACUCAAAGGAAUUGACGGGGGCCCGCACAAGCGGCGGAGCAUGUGGAUUAAUUCGAUGCAACGCGAAGAACCUUACCAAGGCUUGACAUAUACCGGAAACACUCAGAGAUGGGUGCCCCGCAAGGUCGGUAUACAGGUGGUGCAUGGUUGUCGUCAGCUCGUGUCGUGAGAUGUUGGGUUAAGUCCCGCAACGAGCGCAACCCUCGUUCUAUGUUGCCAGCGCGUAAUGGCGGGGACUCAUAGAAGACUGCCGGGGUCAACUCGGAGGAAGGUGGGGAUGACGUCAAAUCAUCAUGCCCCUUAUGUCUUGGGCUUCACGCAUGCUACAAUGGCCGGUACAAAGGGCUGCGAAAUCCCGAGAUGGAGCGAAUCCCCAAAAAACCGGUCUCAGUUCGGAUUGGGGUCUGCAACUCNACCCCA